AUUGAACGCUGGCGGCAGGCUUAACACAUGCAAGUCGAGCGGGGUGAUGGUGCUUGCACUAUCACUUAGCGGCGGACGGGUGAGUAAUGCUUAGGAAUCUGCCUAUUAGUGGGGGACAACAUCUCGAAAGGGAUGCUAAUACCGCAUACGUCCUACGGGAGAAAGCAGGGGAUCUUCGGACCUCGCGCUAAUAGAUGAGCCUAAGUCGGAUUAGCUAGUUGGUGGGGUAAAGGCCUACCAAGGCGACGAUCUGUAGCGGGUCUGAGAGGAUGAUCCGCCACACUGGGACUGAGACACGGCCCAGACUCCUACGGGAGGCAGCAGUGGGGAAUAUUGGACAAUGGGGGGAACCCUGAUCCAGCCAUGCCGCGUGUGUGAAGAAGGCCUUAUGGUUGUAAAGCACUUUAAGCGAGGAGGAGGCUACUUUAGUUAAUACCUAGAGAUAGUGGACGUUACUCGCAGAAUAAGCACCGGCUAACUCUGUGCCAGCAGCCGCGGUAA
RNAcentral lists this ribosomal RNA (501 nucleotides) under uncultured bacterium. RNAcentral describes it as "partial 16S ribosomal RNA". It matches the Rfam family "Bacterial small subunit ribosomal RNA", at positions 30 to 523 of the family's 1533-position model. The record is from RNAcentral.